CUAGGAAUAUUGGACAAUGGGCGAAAGCCUGAUCCAGCAACACCGCGUGGAGGACGAAGGCCUUCGGGUCGUAAACUCCUUUUUUGGGGGGAUGAGAAAGGACAGUACCCCCAGAAUAAGGCCCGGCUAACUACGUGCCAGCAGCCGCGGUAAUACGUAGGGCCAAGCGUUAUCCGGAUUUACUGGGCGUAAAGCGCAUGUAGGCGGUCUGCUAAGUCGGACGUGAAAGCCCCUGGCUCAACUAGGGGAGUUGUUCGAAACUAGUAGACUAGAGGGUGGUAGAGGAGAGCGGAAUUCCGAGGUGUAGCGGUGAAAUGCGUAGAUAUCUGGAGGAACACCAGUGGCGAAAGCGGCUCUCUGGCCCACUCCUGACGCUGAGAUGGCGAAAGGCCAGGGGAGAGA
Molecule: ribosomal RNA, 402 nt
Filed under: uncultured bacterium
Lineage: Bacteria
Description: bacterial SSU rRNA
Rfam family: Bacterial small subunit ribosomal RNA
Source: RNAcentral